CAGCAACUUCACACACAGGACACAUCUGUCCCCUCUUACAGUCCAAGAUCCACCAGGCAAGGACACUUUGAGUAAGAAUAAUUUUAAAAUCAGCAACAAGUGGAGCUGACUUUCUAUCUAUGACUUCAAGAAGGAAAAGCUUUAAUUUUUUCCAUGCAGGGAAUAUUUCCCCUGCCCCAAAACAGGGAACACAGCCAGUGGAAUGACUUACAGAGAGUAUUUAUUAGAGAGGGCAAAACAAACCCUGCAAGCAAACAAGUCAAUGGGAUGAAACAUUUACUGUCUGUGCAAGGAGUGUUAAAUGAACUCAUUUCAGCUUCUCAAUUAAUAUCCAGAUGUCCCCAGCCACCGCCAGGGUUUCUUUCCCUUUGGUGAGUAGGUAAUGACAUUAAUACCACCAUGUGAUCCCUCUCUUCCCUCCCUGAGUCACCCUCCCCUUCCACACAGGAGCUUCUCUGAAGGUUCAUCAAUUGAAAUUGUUUGAAUGCAGCGAGAAAAAGAAUAAAAAGAACGUUUCCUAACAUUGGCAGGAGCAUUUCAGGCAUGAGCACUUUGAAUAUUUAUUCGCCCUUUGUGGGAGCAGCCUCAGCAAGGAAAAGUCAGCGUGAAUAAAAGGAAUUGCAAAUACCAGAGAAGGAGUUUUUCAUUCAUGAGAAUAUUUGCACAGGCUCCUGGGAGAAUUAUCAGCCAAGAUCUGGAACAGACAAAAUUCCAUGUGGGAUCGAAAUGAGGACGAAUUGCUGAGGAGCAGAGCCAAACCAUCUUUCUGCCUGGGAAAGAAGAAGCAUCCACUGCAUUUUUGGGGGUCAGCAAUAACAGCACUGAGCCAGUGGCUACAACAACUGAAGAUUUCUGCUGCUAACAAAGGAUUUUCAUCAGCACUUCUGCUCCAUAAACACCUGCAACUUCCUCAGCCACCCCUGAGACCCUUCAGGAGGAGGCACCUCAUGACCUCAGCCCAAUCCAUCCCUGUUCCUGGAUCCUUCACACACUGCGUGGAGCCCUCCUAAAUCUGGACAUCACUGAGCCACCACCAGCUCCUGCUUUUCUAAAAUAAAGGACAACUGCAGGAACUCUUCCCA
Molecule: long non-coding RNA, 1082 nt
Filed under: Junco hyemalis (dark-eyed junco)
Lineage: Eukaryota; Metazoa; Chordata; Aves; Passeriformes; Passerellidae
Description: lncRNA (ENSJHYG00000009498.1)
Source: RNAcentral